AUACGGAGGGUGCAAGCGUUGUUCGGAAUUACUGGGCGUAAAGGGCGCGCAGGCGGUUUGGUAAGUCAGAUGUGAAAGCCCACGGCUCAACCGUGGAAGUGCAUUUGAAACUGCCAGACUUGAGUACCAGAGGGGAAAGUGGAAUUCCCGGUGUAGAGGUGAAAUUCGUAGAUAUCGGGAGGAAUACCGGUGGCGAAGGCGACUUUCUGGCUGGAUACUGACGCUGAGGCGCGAAAGCGUGGGGAGCAAACAGGAUUAGAAACCCUUGUAGUCC
This 274-nucleotide ribosomal RNA is filed under the name uncultured bacterium. RNAcentral describes it as "partial 16S ribosomal RNA". It matches the Rfam family "Bacterial small subunit ribosomal RNA", at positions 523 to 796 of the family's 1533-position model. The record is from RNAcentral.